This 265-nucleotide ribosomal RNA is filed under the name uncultured bacterium. Its description in RNAcentral is "partial 16S ribosomal RNA". It matches the Rfam family "Bacterial small subunit ribosomal RNA", at positions 524 to 788 of the family's 1533-position model. The record is from RNAcentral.
UACGUAGGGAGCAAGCGUUGUUCGGAUUUACUGGGCGUAAAGGGCGCGUAGGCGGCGCGGUAAGUCACUUGUGAAAUCUCUGAGCUUAACUCAGAACGGCCAAGUGAUACUGCAGUGCUGGAGUGUAGAAGGGGCAAUCGGAAUUCUUGGUGUAGCGGUGAAAUGCGUAGAUAUCAAGAGGAACACCUGAGGUGAAGACGGGUUGCUGGUCUAACACUGACGCUGAUGCGCGAAAGCCAGGGGAGCAAACGGGAUUAGAAACCCC